CCCGGAGCACCCAGGUGGCGCUGCCCCUGAGGGAUUCCAAACAGGAACAGAUCAGGCAAGAUCCACACAUCUGGGACAGUUUUGAGAACAACACGCAAUGGCAGCACUGCUGACUGGACCCCACUUUGGACAUCCAUGUGGUCCCAGGACAAUGGGCAAAACGCCUGCAUGUGAUACCCAGGGCGGGGCAAAGCAGACAAAUCAGAUGGACUGCGACCAAUGGAAAGCUCUGGGAAGGCUUGACUUCCCAGGGCACAGCAAUGCAGGUGCUUUCUCCCGGGAUGAUCCCAAGCUGGGGUGGUGGCAGCCAUGCCCACCUUCUCCCCUGGUCUGUCUUUCUAUUCUAGAUUUUAAUGAUAAAACGAUUUUCCUAAAUAGGGAAAUCUUCAUAUCAUUAUCUAGACAGAUGAUAUAGAAGGUUAAAAUAAUUGAAAAACAGAUUUAUAUAUAAUGGACUCACUAUAAAAAUUUGAACUGAUUAAUUCUAGGAUAUUUCAGGCUUUUCUCCCUGAUUUUAUUAUGCUGAUGUAAGCCAAGAUUUUUGUCUACAUUCUGACAUGACAGAGCUUAUUAAAAU
RNAcentral lists this long non-coding RNA (577 nucleotides) under Marmota monax (woodchuck). Lineage: Eukaryota; Metazoa; Chordata; Mammalia; Rodentia; Sciuridae. The record is from RNAcentral.